RNAcentral lists this transfer RNA (73 nucleotides) under Thalassiosira rotula. RNAcentral's name for it is "tRNA-Trp". It matches the Rfam family "tRNA". Rfam says of the family: Transfer RNA (tRNA) molecules are approximately 80 nucleotides in length. Their secondary structure includes four short double-helical elements and three loops (D, anti-codon, and T loops). Lineage: Eukaryota; Bacillariophyta; Thalassiosirophyceae; Thalassiosirales; Thalassiosiraceae. The record is from RNAcentral.
AGGGAAAUAGUUCAGUUGGUAGAACAGUGGUUUUCAAAACCAAAAGCCAUGGGUUCAAGUCCCUUUUUCCCUG